Homo sapiens (human) is the source of this 459-nucleotide long non-coding RNA. NCBI's taxonomy places the organism in Eukaryota, Metazoa, Chordata, Mammalia, Primates, Hominidae. The record is from Ensembl.
GUAAUGAGUUGGCCCUCAGUCAUCCCCGUCUAGUCUUACUGAGUUGCUUGUUAUCUGUGCUACGAGAUUAGAAAGGUUAAUAGGACCCAUCCUUUGGAAGUAGGAAAGUGGCAUAGAAGGAGAAGCUGAGUUAGAGAUCACUCACCCACUUGCCCAUCAACUGGAACUGCAAGAGAUCAGAGAAUAAAGAUAUCAGUUGGUCCAAGGAAAAUAAUGAGGAAGAGAGAAUUGGGGAGACAGAAUUAAUGUAGACUCUGAGGGAUCAACUCAGAUCUCUUGAGUUUCUAUUUCUCUUUCUCAAAAUCCAGUACUAACAGAACUGAACAAGCUACAGGUGGUUAUCAAGGAAACUUCACUGCGGUGUGUCCAGGCUUAAUGCUACCUCAGGGUUGCCCUUCCCAUCCUUUUCAUAAAAUAAGCUCUAAUAAACAGUGGAAGCACAGAUACAAGUUGCUUCAU